GACGAACGCUGGCGGCGUGCUUAACACAUGCAAGUCGUGCGGUAAGGCCCUUCCGGGGGUACACGAGCGGCGAACGGGUGAGUAACACGUGAGCAACCUGCCCUUCCCUUUGGGAUAACUGCCGGAAACGGUGGCUAAUACCGGACAGGAAUUACCUACGCAUGCGGGGUGGUGGAAAGCCUUCGGGUGGUGGGGGAUGGGCUCGCGGUCUAUCAGCUUGUUGGUGGGGUGUUGGCCUACCAAGGCUUCGACGGGUAGCCGGCCUGAGAGGGUGACCGGCCACACUGGGACUGAGACACGGCCCAGACUCCUACGGGAGGCAGCAGUGGGGAAUAUUGGACAAUGGGCGAAAGCCUGAUCCAGCAACGCCGCGUGAGGGAUGACGGCCUUCGGGUUGUAAACCUCUUUCGCCUGCGACGAAGCGAGAGUGACGGUAACAGGUAAAGAAGCACCGGCCAACUACGUG
This 466-nucleotide ribosomal RNA is filed under the name uncultured bacterium. Its description in RNAcentral is "partial 16S ribosomal RNA". It matches the Rfam family "Bacterial small subunit ribosomal RNA", at positions 28 to 507 of the family's 1533-position model. The record is from RNAcentral.